Molecule: unclassified non-coding RNA, 276 nt
Filed under: Glomeraceae sp.
Lineage: Eukaryota; Fungi; Glomeromycota; Glomeromycetes; Glomerales; Glomeraceae
Description: partial contains 5.8S ribosomal RNA and internal transcribed spacer 2
Rfam family: 5.8S ribosomal RNA (bases 1-65)
Source: RNAcentral
GUGAAUCAUCGAAUCUUUGAACGCAAAUUGCACUCUCCUCGGAGAGUAUGCCUGUUUGAGGGUCAGCCUAUAAAAAAUCGACAUCGUUGCUGUUUCGCGGUGGCGUUCGUCGGAAAUUGGGUCAUCUUAAAUCCUUUUGAUUUAAGCGACUUAACAUUUUCUUUUGGUUCCAUGAACGUUUCUAAGAUCUAUUUCUUUACACGUUUAAGGUAUCGAUUUUUAUUAGACGCGGUCGUCAUAUCGGCUCGCGUCGAUAAUUUUUCGCUAAUUGACUUA